Molecule: transfer RNA, 76 nt
Filed under: Hominimerdicola alba 7 = DSM 20455
Lineage: Bacteria; Bacillati; Bacillota; Clostridia; Eubacteriales; Oscillospiraceae
Also listed under: 1 other name
Description: Ruminococcus albus 7 = DSM 20455 tRNA-Leu
Rfam family: tRNA
About the family: Transfer RNA (tRNA) molecules are approximately 80 nucleotides in length.
Source: RNAcentral
GCUCUCGUAGACCAACGGCAGAGUGAACGGACUUAAACCCCGUGUAGUGUGAGUUCGAAUCUCACCGGGAGCAUCA